This 440-nucleotide ribosomal RNA is filed under the name uncultured bacterium. RNAcentral describes it as "partial 16S ribosomal RNA". It matches the Rfam family "Bacterial small subunit ribosomal RNA", at positions 338 to 795 of the family's 1533-position model. The record is from RNAcentral.
CCUACGGGAGGCAGCAGUGGGGAAUAUUGCACAAUGGGGGAAACCCUGAUGCAGCGACGCCGCGUGAGUGAAGAAGUAAUUCGUUAUGUAAAGCUCUAUCAGCAGGGAAGAAAAUGACGGUACCUGAGUAAGAAGCCCCGGCUAACUACGUGCCAGCAGCCGCGGUAAUACGUAGGGGGCAAGAGUUAUCCGGAUUUACUGGGUGUAAAGGGAGCGUAGACGGCAGUGCAAGUCUGGAGUGAAAGGCGGGGGCUCAACCCCCGGACUGCUCUGGAAACUGUACGGCUGGAGUGCAGGAGAGGUAAGUGGAAUUCCUAGUGUAGCGGUGAAAUGCGGAGAUAUUAGGAGGAACACCAGUGGCGAAGGCGGCUUACUGGACUGUAACUGACGUUGAGGCUCGAAAGCGUGGGGAGCAAACAGGAUUAGAUACCCCAGUAGUC